RNAcentral lists this ribosomal RNA (3356 nucleotides) under Durio zibethinus. RNAcentral's name for it is "eukaryotic LSU rRNA". It matches the Rfam family "Eukaryotic large subunit ribosomal RNA". Lineage: Eukaryota; Viridiplantae; Streptophyta; Magnoliopsida; Malvales; Malvaceae. The record is from RNAcentral.
AUGAACCUAGGUCAGGUAAGAUCACCCAUUGAGCUUAAGCAUAUCAGUAAGUAGAGGAAAAGAAACUUACCAAGAUUCCCCUAGUAAUGAUGAGUGAACCAGAAAAAGCCAAGCUUGAGAAUUGGGCACCCACAGCAUUCAAAUUAUAGUCUGGAAAAGCAUCCUUAGUGGUGGAUCGAGCCCAAGUCCCCUAGAAAGGGAGUCCCAUUGUGCCUGGAACUUGUCGUACCAUUACAUACUGUCUACGAGUUGGGUUGUAUGGAAAUAUAGCCCUAAUCAGUUGGUAAAUUCCAUCCAAGGUUGAAUAUGGACGAAAGACCAAUAAUGAACAAGUAUUACGAGGGAAAGAUGAAAAAGACUUUGAAAAGAGAGUCAGAGAGUACUUGAAAUUAUCAAGAGGGAAGCAGAUGGGGGCCAACAAUACACCCUAAUGGGAUGUGGAAUGGUGAUAGUCGAUCCGUCGAUCAACUUGAGGCAUGGAUCAACGGAUAUCACCCAAGCUUGGGCUUUUGAUAUACCUAUAGAGAUGUCAUCAUUGUGAUUAUGGAAUGCAGCACGUACCAUCUUGGCAUGCUCUUGGCAUCAGCCUACGGGUUCCCUAUUGGGCUCAUCUUGAAAUAAGACUAAGAAGUCUAACAUAUGUGUAAGAGAAUGGGUAAAAAAAUGUAUAAGGUAGAAUAAAGCUAAUUAGUAGGAUCCCUUAUGGGUGAACCACUGAUCGACCUUGAUAUUUUGAGAAAGGUUUGAGUGUGAGCAUGCUAGUUAGGACCUGAAAGAUGGUGAACUAUGCUUGAGUGGGGCAUAGCCAGAGGAAACUUUGGUGGAGGCCCAUAGUGAUACUGAUGUGCAAAUCAUUCGUCUAACUAGGUAUAGAGGCAAAAGACUAGUCGAACUAUCUAGUAGUUGGUUUCCUCUGAAGUUUCCCUCAAGAUAGCUAGAGCCCUUAGUGAGUUCUAUCAAGUAAAGCCAAUGAUUAGAGGCAUCGGUACCGUAAUGUCAUCAUCCUAUUCUCAAACUUUAAAUUGCUAGGAUGGCAUGGCUACUUCAUUAAGCCACACUAAGGAAUCGAGAGUUUCAAGUGUGCCAUUUUUGGUAAGCAAAAUUGACGAUGUAAGAUGAUCUAAAAGUGGGGCUAUGAUCCCUAACAAUAUGCUAACCUAGAACCCAUAAAAGGUGUUGGUCGAUUAAGACAGUAGGACAGUGGUCAUGGAAGUCUAAAUUUGCUAAGUAGUGUGUAACAACUCACCUGACAAAUCAACUAGCCCAAAAAAUGGAUGGCACUUAAGAGCGCAACCUAUACCCGACCAUUGGGGCAAGGGCUAGGCCUCGAUGAGUAGGAAGGCAUGACAGUCACUACAAAACCUAAAACCUAAGCCUAGGCAGAGUAGCCGUUAAUACAGAUCUUAGUGGUGUAGCAAGUGUUCAUGAGAACUUUGAAGGUUGAAAAAGGGAAAGGUUCCAUAUGAAUAGCACUUAUACAUGGGUUAGCCGAUACUAAAAGACGAGGCAAGCUCAUUCGAUAGUGCGUCUAUCAUGAGCUUCGAAAAGGAACUGGGUUAAAAUUCUUGAACCAAGAUGCAGUGGCUAAUGACAAUGUUAAGGAUUUUAGAGACUUCGGUAGGAGCCAUAGGAAGAGUUAUCUUUUCUAUGUAAGGCCUGCCUACCGUGGAAAUAGCUCAGUUAGAGAUAGGGUCCAAUAGUCGAAAGAGCACCACAUGUCACAUGGUGUUCAAUGAGCCCCUGAUUGCCCCUGAAAAUCUAGAGAUUUAAGUGCCGUUUGUGCCUAGUCAUACUCAUAACUGCAUCAAGUCUCCAAGUUGAACAGCCUCUGGUUGAUGGAAAAAUAUAGGCAAGGAAAGUUAAGAAAAUGAAUCUGUAACCUCAGGAGAAAAGAUUGGCUUUGAGGGCUAGGCAUGGGGGUCGUAGUCUCGAACUCAUUGGCUAUCGAUGCAUUGCUUAAGCUACUCCUAGGAUGAGAGUGAGUCACCAUAUGUUGGCUAAGGGACGGACUGGGAAUGGCUUCAUUAAGGGCCUUCCCCAUAUGACAAAUAAUUGACUCAAAAUCGAUAUAAACAAGGGAAUCUGAUUGUUUAAUUAAAACAAAGCAUUGCAAUGGUCUUGCGGAUGGUCAUGUAAUGUGAUUUCUGCCCAAUGCUUUGAAUGUUAAAGUGAAAAAAUUCAACCAAGCGUAGGUAAAUGGCAAGAGUAACUAUGGCUCCCUUAAAGUUGCCAAAUGCCUCAUCAUCUAACUAAUGAUGAGUAUGAAUGGACUAAUGAGAUUCUCAAUAUCCCUAUCUACUAUCCAACGAAACCACAACCAAAAGUAUGGGCUUGACAAAAUCAGUGGGGAAAGCAGACCCUAUUGAGCUUGACUUUAGUCCAACUUUGUGAAAUGACUUGAAAGGUGUAGGAUAAGUGAGAGCACUUGGGUGAAAUUGAAAUACCACUACUUUUAAUGUUAUUUUAUUUAUUCCAUGAAUUGAAGGCAGGGCAUGACCUUUUUUUUUAGACCUAAGGUAGGCCUGAAUUGAUUGUUCUGGGUAAAAGACAUUGUUGGGUAAGGAGUUUGGCUGGCAUAGCAUAUCUGUUAAAAGAUAAUGUAGAUGUCCUAAGAUGAGCUUAACGAGAAUGGAAAUCUCAUGUGGAAUAAAAGGAUAAAAGCUGGUUUGAUUUUGAUUUCUAGUACAAAUAUGAACCGUGAAAGCAUGGCCUAUUGAUUUUUCGGACCUCUAGAAUUUGAAGCUAGAGGUGUCACAAAAGUUACCACAAGAAUAACUGGCUUGUGGCAACCAAGUGUUCAUAGUGAUGUUGCUUUUGGUCCGUUGAUGUUGGCUCUUCCUAUCUUUAUGCAGCAGAAUUCACCAAGUGUUGGAUUAUUCAUCCACUAAUAGGGAACAUAAGCUGGGUUUAAACCAUCGUGUGAUAGGUUAGUUUUACCUUACUAAUAGUAGCAUCAUAAUAGUAAUUCAACCUAGUAUUAGAGGAACCAUUGAUUCGCAUAAUUGGUCAUUGCGCUUGGCUGAAAAGCUAAUGCAUGAAGCUACCAUAUGCUGGAUUAUGACAGAAUGCCUCUAAGUCAAAAUCUAGGCUAGAAGUAAUGCAUAUGCUUAUUGCCUGAUUGCUAACCAUAAUUGGGGCCCAUCGCCUCUAAGGGCAUGUGUCAUAGGUGCAGCCCUCGUGAUGGACAAGGACAUGUGUCACAGGUGCAGCCCUUAUGGCAGACAAGCAUACGGGCUUCGUUGGAGCUCAAUUCCUAUUGAGCAGGGGUUAGAAUCCUUGGCAAAUGACUUAAAUACACAAUCGGGUAUUAUAAGUGGUAGAGUGACAUUGCUGCCAUAAUUGACUGACAUUAAGCC